AACGUUUUCAGACCAAUCCAGUCCUCAGUAUAUAGCUUUGUCUGUUAGGAAGAACGUUUGAGUUAAGAAGCCAAUAUUGGGGUUGUCCGAUGAUCAGGUUAAGAAACUUAAUUCGAGAGAUGAUGAUGAUGAUAAGGUUCACCUUUCGAGGAGGCAGAAUAGUUGUGUUAUCUCCAUCCGGGAUCAUUGGUCUCAGAAUGAGAGGUACCAUGAUGAGGACCAAGUUGUGCAAGCUGGUGAAACGUUCUUUGUAAGUGGAGUUCUUCUCGCCAGGUCUCUCGUUGUUGAGCUUUGGCAAAUACUUGGAGUGUUCCAAAUACUCUGUUAUUUUCUGUAAACCAUAUAACAUUUUUUCCAUUGAAGUAUUUCAUAACAAAUGGAAAUGAUUUGAGGAUUAGAAGGAUAA
Long non-coding RNA from Camelina sativa (false flax), 406 nucleotides. RefSeq lists it as uncharacterized. Lineage: Eukaryota; Viridiplantae; Streptophyta; Magnoliopsida; Brassicales; Brassicaceae. The record is from RefSeq and is a predicted model, not a curated record.